RNAcentral lists this ribosomal RNA (497 nucleotides) under uncultured bacterium. Its description in RNAcentral is "partial 16S ribosomal RNA". It matches the Rfam family "Bacterial small subunit ribosomal RNA", at positions 28 to 507 of the family's 1533-position model. The record is from RNAcentral.
GAUGAACGCUGGCGGCGUGCCUAAUACAUGCAAGUCGAGCGAACAGACGAGGAGCUUGCUCCUCUGACGUUAGCGGCGGACGGGUGAGUAACACGUGGAUAACCUACCUAUAAGACUGGGAUAACUUCGGGAAACCGGAGCUAAUACCGGAUAAUAUAUUGAACCGCAUGGUUCAAUAGUGAAAGACGGUUUUGCUGUCCCUUAUAGAUGGAUCCGCGCCGCAUUAGCUAGUUGGUAAGGUAACGGCUUACCAAGGCCACGAUGCGUAGCCGACCUGAGAGGGUGAUCGGCCACACUGGAACUGAGACACGGUCCAGACUCCGACGGGAGGCAGAAGUAGGGAAUCUUCCGCAAUGGGCGAAAGCUUGGCGGAGCAACGCCGCGUGAGUGAUGAAGGUCUUCGGAUCGUAAAACUCUGUUAUGAGGGAAGAACAAAUGUGUAAGUAACUAUGCACGUCUUGACGGUACCUAAUCAGAAAGCCACGGCUAACUACGUG